UGUCGCGUAGCACAACAGGUAGUGCAGCCGGUUGUUACCCGGCUAGGUGCUGGUUCGAAUCCAGCCGUGACAG
This 73-nucleotide transfer RNA is filed under the name Kitasatospora griseola. It matches the Rfam family "tRNA". From Rfam's summary of the family: Transfer RNA (tRNA) molecules are approximately 80 nucleotides in length. Their secondary structure includes four short double-helical elements and three loops (D, anti-codon, and T loops). The record is from Rfam by way of RNAcentral. Lineage: Bacteria; Bacillati; Actinomycetota; Actinomycetes; Kitasatosporales; Streptomycetaceae.